RNAcentral lists this small RNA (703 nucleotides) under Arabidopsis thaliana (thale cress). RNAcentral's name for it is "ATSL130540". The record is from RNAcentral. Lineage: Eukaryota; Viridiplantae; Streptophyta; Magnoliopsida; Brassicales; Brassicaceae.
UGUUGUUGUGUUCUGUACUAGACUCUAAAAGGUUAAUGCGAGCUUAUGGGCCUUAGAGCAUGUCCAUUGCAGGGACCUUACAAGUUUUUUAAGAGAAUUCUAAUGGAAAGAAGCAAAAAAAAAAAAAAAAAUUGUCUAAUUAACCAAGGUGCGAACCUUGAAUAAGGUAUUUUUGGGUGAGUAAGGUUCGCUGACGUGGCACUAUAUCAUUGGAGGACCAAUAAAACAAAACAAGUUUUUUUUCUUUUUUCUUUCUCUCCUCUCUCUUGGUUUCGUAUAGAGUUUCUAGGCUUUGGUUUAUGUUCAAAUUUGUGUUUGAUCUGUUGGUUUUUAAGAUAAAAAUGUGACCAUUUUGCUGCUUAUUCACUUCUCAUUAGCAUUACAACGGAUUGGUGACACAAAAUAAUUGGUUCUAGGUUUAUGUUUAUGCUCUUUUGUUUGCUCAUUUAGUUGAUGUUAUCAAAUAAUUGGUUCUCGGUACGUGCUUUCAUUUAAGUUCAUGACAGUGUCUUGAGCUGGAGAUAGAUUAUUCUAUGUUUUUCCUUUGGUGACAAUUUCAUUAAUAGACCUCUCAUCUUGGACUUUAGUUUCCUCUUGUAAGCCUUUUGAUUUGUAUUCUUUUUCUCUUUUUUUUUUGCUUUUAUGUCAUCAUAUAUGUUUACAAUUUGUAAUAUUUUCUAAUAACUUUUAAGUUUUAUCAAAU